RNAcentral lists this long non-coding RNA (850 nucleotides) under Apteryx rowi (Okarito brown kiwi). RNAcentral describes it as "lncRNA (ENSARWG00000001325.1)". Lineage: Eukaryota; Metazoa; Chordata; Aves; Apterygiformes; Apterygidae. The record is from RNAcentral.
UAUUUUAUUCAUCAGAUACAUGAGCCAAAGAUCUUAUUUUAUGUUUAUAUCCAUUUCAGAAUCUGAAGGAACAACUGUGAAAAGCCUGUGCAGACACCGUCUGAAAUCCUGUCCCUGUCAAGCAGGAAUCUUUAACCUCUUGUGAUAUAUUGGGUACUCAUGAAGUACACAUAUAUCAUGACAGAUUUGCACUUUUGGAAGUUAAGACUGUGCCCUCAGAAACAGGAUCAGCCCAAGAAGCAGCAGUGAACAUCUCUCCACAAGCCUGCCACCCUCUCAUUGGCGAGAGUACCAGAAUGAGCAGCACUAAGAACUGGAAGCCUGUUCAGAAUCUCCCCUCUCCUGUGACUGCAAACGCUGAAUGAGACAUCCUGUAACACCCUGUUCAGAGGGGCAGAGCUGACAGCUGAAGGCCACCCUUGGCAUUUUCCUCUUUGGAGAUAAUGACAGAUGGUGUAUAACCAUGAGCAAGGAACCCCUUAAGUCCUAAACUAGGAGGGGGGCUUUCUGGGGAAUUAGUUAUAAAAGUUUAUUGCCCAAAGGUCUUGGUGCUGUUUCUGCUCCAGGGAGAAUAAGGAGGAGAGAUAUUAAACAGAGGUUUUAAAGAAAAAAUAAUCUGGUGUAUUAGAGGAUUGCAACAUUUUAGAUGAGUGCAGAGAGCACAUUUCUCCACAUACACCAGGAGUAAGCCAGAGAACUGCUGCAUGUAAUGUUUCUUACAGAACCGCACAAAACUUGCCUACUUGCCUACUUUCCAGUUUUGCUCUAAACUAAGAUAUAAACCUGUCUGUUGUAAGUUUCACUUAAAUUCCUUAAUCCGCACCUUUCAAGUGACUUGGAGCCCACUUAC